GGAGGGUGCAAGCGUUGUUCGGAAUUAUUGGGCGUAAAGAGCGUGUAGGCGGUCCGGUAAGUCAGAUGUGAAAGCCCUGGGCUCAACCCAGGAAGUGCAUUUGAAACUACCAGACUUGAGUACGGGAGAGGAGGGGGGAAUUCCCGGCGUAGAGGUGAAAUUCGUAGAUAUCGGGAGGAAUACCAGUGGCGAAGGCGCCCUCUGGACCGAUACUGACGCUGAGACGCGAAAGCGUGGGGAGCAAACAGGAUUAGAUACCCUGGUAGUCCACGCCGUAAACGAUGAGCACUAGGUGUAGCGGGUAUUGACCCCCCUGCUGUGCCCGUAGCUAACGCAUUAAGUGCUCCGCCUGGGGGACUACGGUCGCAAGACUA
RNAcentral lists this ribosomal RNA (374 nucleotides) under uncultured organism. RNAcentral describes it as "partial 16S ribosomal RNA". It matches the Rfam family "Bacterial small subunit ribosomal RNA", at positions 527 to 896 of the family's 1533-position model. The record is from RNAcentral.